UGGCGGCAGGCCUAACACAUGCAAGUCGAGCGGAAACGAGUUCACUGAACCUUCGGGGAACGUGAACGGCGUCGAGCGGCGGACGGGUGAGUAAUGCCUGGGAAAUUGCCCUGAUGUGGGGGAUAACCAUUGGAAACGAUGGCUAAUACCGCAUAAUAGCUUCGGCUCAAAGAGGGGGACCUUCGGGCCUCUCGCGUCAGGAUAUGCCCAGGUGGGAUUAGCUAGUUGGUGAGGUAAGGGCUCACCAAGGCAACGAUCCCUAGCUGGUCUGAGAGGAUGAUCAGCCACACUGGAACUGAGACACGGUCCAGACUCCUACGGGAGGCAGCAGUGGGGAAUAUUGCACAAUGGGCGCAAGCCUGAUGCAGCCAUGCCGCGUGUAUGAAGAAGGCCUUCGGGUUGUAAAGUACUUUCAGCAGUGAGGAAGGUUCAUGCGUUAAUAGCGUAUGGAUUUGACGUUAGCUGCAGAAGAAGCACCGGCUAACUCCGUGCCAGCAGCCGCGG
RNAcentral lists this ribosomal RNA (504 nucleotides) under marine sediment bacterium ISA-2654. RNAcentral's name for it is "bacterial SSU rRNA". It matches the Rfam family "Bacterial small subunit ribosomal RNA", at positions 37 to 520 of the family's 1533-position model. The record is from RNAcentral.